GCUGGCGGCGUGCUUAACACAUGCAAGUCGAACGGAAAGGCCCUGCUUUUGUGGGGUGCUCGAGUGGCGAACGGGUGAGUAACACGUGAGUAACCUGCCCUUGACUUUGGGAUAACUUCAGGAAACUGGGGCUAAUACCGGAUAGGAGCUCCUGCUGCAUGGUGGGGGUUGGAAAGUUUCGGCGGUUGGGGAUGGACUCGCGGCUUAUCAGCUUGUUGGUGGGGUAGUGGCUUACCAAGGCUUUGACGGGUAGCCGGCCUGAGAGGGUGACCGGCCACAUUGGGACUGAGAUACGGCCCAGACUCCUACGGGAGGCAGCAGUGGGGAAUAUUGCACAAUGGGCGGAAGCCUGAUGCAGCAACGCCGCGUGCGGGAUGACGGCCUUCGGGUUGUAAACCGCUUUCGCCUGUGACGAAGCGUGAGUGACGGUAAUGGGUAAAGAAGCACCGGCUAACUACGUGCCAGCAGCCGCGGUGAUACGUAGGGUGCGAGCGUUGUCCGGAUUUAUUGGGCGUAAAGGGCUCGUAGGUGGUUGAUCGCGUCGGAAGUGUAAUCUUGGGGCUUAACCCUGAGCGUGCUUUCGAUACGGGUUGACUUGAGGAAGGUAGGGGAGAAUGGAAUUCCUGGUGGAGCGGUGGAAUGCGCAGAUAUCAGGAGGAACACCAGUGGCGAAGGCGAUUCUCUGGGCCUUUCCUGACGCUGAGGAGCGAAAGCGUGGGGAGCGAACAGGCUUAGAUACCCUGGUAGUCCACGCUGUAAACGGUGGGUACUAGGUGUGGGGUCCAUUCCACGGGUUCCGUGCCGUAGCUAACGCUUUAAGUACCCCGCCUGGGGAGUACGGCCGCAAGGCUAAAACUCAAAGGAAUUGACGGGGCCCCGCACAAGCGGCGGAGCAUGCGGAUUAAUUCGAUGCAACGCGUAGAACCUUACCUGGGUUUGACAUGGAUCGGGAGUGCUCAGAGAUGGGUGUGCCUCUUUUGGGGUCGGUUCACAGGUGGUGCAUGGCUGUCGUCAGCUCGUGUCGUGAGAUGUUGGGUUAAGUCCCGCAACGAGCGCAACCCUUGUUCACUGUUGCCAGCACGUUAUGGUGGGGACUCAGUGGAGACCGCCGGGGUCAACUCGGAGGAAGGUGGGGAUGACGUCAAGUCAUCAUGCCCCUUAUGUCCAGGGCUUCACGCAUGCUACAAUGGCUGGUACAGAGAGUGGCGAGCCUGUGAGGGUGAGCGAAUCUCGGAAAGCCGGUCUCAGUUCGGAUUGGGGUCUGCAACUCGACCUCAUGAAGUCGGAGUCGCUAGUAAUCGCAGAUCAGCAACGCUGCGGUGAAUACGUUCCCGGGGCUUGUACACACCGCCCGUCAAGUCAUGAAAGUUGGUAACACCCGAAGCCGGUGACCUAACCGUUGUGGGGGAGCCGUCGAAGGUGGGACUGGUGAAU
This 1434-nucleotide ribosomal RNA is filed under the name uncultured organism. Its description in RNAcentral is "partial small subunit ribosomal RNA". It matches the Rfam family "Bacterial small subunit ribosomal RNA". The record is from RNAcentral.